UACCUUCUCUUUCACCUGCGUGCCAUUGGGU
Molecule: non-coding RNA, 31 nt
Filed under: Mus musculus (house mouse)
Lineage: Eukaryota; Metazoa; Chordata; Mammalia; Rodentia; Muridae
Source: RNAcentral